ACGGGUGAGUAACACGUAUCCAACCUGCCGUCUACUCUUGGCCAGCCUUCUGAAAGGAAGAUUAAUCCAGGAUGGGAUCAUGAGUUCACAUGUCCGCAUGAUUAAAGGUAUUUUCCGGUAGACGAUGGGGAUGCGUUCCAUUAGAUAGUAGGCGGGGUAACGGCCCACCUAGUCAACGAUGGAUAGGGGUUCUGAGAGGAAGGUCCCCCACAUUGGAACUGAGACACGGUCCAA
Molecule: ribosomal RNA, 234 nt
Filed under: uncultured bacterium
Lineage: Bacteria
Description: partial 16S ribosomal RNA
Rfam family: Bacterial small subunit ribosomal RNA
Source: RNAcentral